UAUUAGUUAUAAUUGAGUUGGUUAGUUUUAGGUUAGAUAGCAGUAUGAAUGCUGAUUAAAAGGCUACUUAGAUUUAUAAAAAAAUAAAUAAAUAAAGAGAAUCAAUUAAAGGUUGGAUGCAAGUAUGAAAAUGGAUUCUCAGGAUCUCAACUAUUUUCUUAUUAGAUAGUUGGUACUCUUCUUAACAUGCUUUGGAUUGGUAUCUAAUCAAUAAAGAUAUAACC
Molecule: long non-coding RNA, 224 nt
Filed under: Elaeis guineensis (African oil palm)
Lineage: Eukaryota; Viridiplantae; Streptophyta; Magnoliopsida; Arecales; Arecaceae
Description: long non-coding RNA (EGUI_LNC042802)
Source: RNAcentral